This is a long non-coding RNA of Hemicordylus capensis (graceful crag lizard), 3063 nucleotides long. RefSeq lists it as uncharacterized. The record is from RefSeq and is a predicted model, not a curated record. NCBI's taxonomy places the organism in Eukaryota, Metazoa, Chordata, Lepidosauria, Squamata, Cordylidae. The transcript has 5 exons.
CAGUAAUAAAUAUUCCAUUGCCCGACACCCAAGAAGACACGAGACACAAGUGUUGGUGUAAACUAGGGCCACAAUUUUAUUUUAACUUUUAAAACAACAGCUUUAAGAAACAGGGAUUGGCUCUCCACUCCAUACAGUGCAGUAUCUAUAGGCAUGCAGCACCAGGACGAUACACCUUGGCUUUAGGCAGCCCCUAAUGCUCUAAAGCAGGGGCUGCCCAUCCUAGCAGGCCUAGGGCCAGGCCUCUGCCAUAUCCACACUCCCUGGUAGCCGUUCAGUGAUCCUGGAAAGCUUAGCCUGACAGAGUAGGCGGAUCCAGGGCAGAUGUCCCUCAGCUGUGCAGUCUCUGUCCAACCUAUAGCCAAAUGCUACCUGAAGGUGUUUACAAGCCUCAGAUGUUAUUCCCAACCGCACUGUACCUGCCAAAAUUGUGACCAAUAAGGAUUUUAAGCCUGACUUUCUAACUAAGGACUAGUACAGUUAGGAGCAGGCGAAAAAGGACACGCACCAAAGGCCAGCCAGGAUUCCAGGACAGGAAUUUAAGUGAGAAAGGAAGUUAGCUCCUUUGACUUCAAGAAAUAAAUCAUACGUUGAGCACUUGAGAGACAGAGACCAGACUGUUGGUAUGAGAAAGAAACACAGAUGAGGAACUGAAAAGCAGAGUAUGUGCAGGUUCUAAUGCAACACGCCCACCAACUGUCCCUGUUUACCAGGAACAGUCCCUAUUUUUUAGUACUUGUCCCUGAUGAAAUCACUGACUCUGCUCCACCAGUUUUUGCAUUUUAAACUUCUGAUAGCAUGUUGUUUGGGAGAAAUUAGAAGAAAGGAGAGUUUAAAGAUAGAAGUUAUAUACUACGGUACCACACUCCUUCCAAGAGACACACGCCGAGGCCUGAGACUUCUCUUCUCUGGAGCAGGAAGGCAGAGAGAUAAGAGCAGCAAUCCAGAGACUGAGCAGGGGUCCCAGAACCAAAAUGAAAUCCAAAAAAGAACAAAACCUCACCGUCCCAAGCACUGGGAAGACCGGGUUAGGAAAAGCCAGUAUGGAGCAUCCUGAUCAGCAGCCACUCUGGUUCUGGAGCCAUCAGCAGUAUGGAGAACUCCUAACUACAAGUCAACAUACUUCUCCAGUUGCCCCUGCUUCAAAGGACACCCAAUAAUUUGUAUGAACAGUAGCAAUGAGACAUAUAAGAUCAUCAGUCUGGAUCGUACUUCUGAAACAAUAAAGUUCAUGCAACUGAAUCCUCUUCCAUUUUGAGGUACUACUAGGUAUAACCUUAGUGUUUUGAUUCAAAGGAUUUAGAUUGGGGGGUAUCUGCCAUCCACUAUCCUGAUAGACUCUGUAGGCUGAGACUUACAGUCUCAGAUGACUGAGAAUUACAGUCAUUUAUAAGUUUGCACAUGACACUCAAAAAGGCAUUGUUAGAACUAAGCAAACAUUAAGAGAUUUUUGUGGUAGCUAGGUAUGGAUUCACAGCUUGUACCUGCUAUAAAAACUGUGUUGCUUGUCAGUUGUAUGAUAAAACAGCAGAGACAAAUGUAGCACUUACACAACCUGAUUCCUCCCCAGAUUCUACAUAGUAUAAAGUUGCUACUGAUAUUGUAGGGCAGGCCUGCUCAACUUUGGCCCUCCUACCAAUGUUGGCCUACAACUCCCAUAAUACCAGGUUAUUGGCCACUAUGGCUGGGGAUUAUGAGAGUUGUAGUCCAAAAACACAUGGGGGGGGGGCAAAGUUGAGCAGGCCUGUUGUAGGGCCUUUUGAUUUUGCCCCUAGUGGUUGUCAGCAUUACUAUUUUAGUAAAUGGCCUGAAGUAGCAUUUACAUGAGUAACUUUGGCCUCAGUUAUUUCAUUCACUUCAAGUGUGUUUUUGUGGUGGCCAGGUAUGGAUUUACAGGUGGUACCUGCUAUUAAAAAUUGUGUUACUUGUACAGUGGUAAAAAAAGUACCACAUUUACAACUAGAUCGAUAACCUGAUUCUGCAUGGUAUAAAGUCAACCAUCCUGACCAGCAGCCACUCUGGUUCUGGAGUCAUCAACAACAUAUCUCUCCAGUUGCCCUUGCUUCAAAGGACACCCAUUAAUUUUUAUGAACUGUAGCAAUGAGACAUGAGGGAUCAUCAUUCUGGACGAUCCCACAGUUGAACUGCACAACAAUUCAACUUCAUCUUCCCCAAAUCCUGUUGGGAUUCCUGUUGGUCAAUCAUCAUUUUCCAGGACUUGCAACUCCUUAAUGAUUCCAGGGAUGGACUCUAUUACUGUGGGCUUCGGAUUCACUGAAAGGAGAUAUUCAGAGAGGAUUGUCAGCUCAUUCAAGACUCAUACAUAAGAGAUAGGUCUAACAGAAACUGCUUGGAAGGCAAACGCUUAUACAGACUGCUGAAAGAUGAUCUCUCAGCCUUUGAGCGAUUUUCAUCCUUGCUAGGAGACUUGAAAUGUAAACAGAGAAGAAUAGCUUUUCCAAACAGCUGCAAUAGUCCUAUAAGAACUCACAACCCAUCUGACAUCCAAGACUCAGCCAAUCUUGUUUAUCUGCUCCUACAGCUGCUCAGAACACUUCCUUAGCUCUAUGUGAAUUGGGGUAACUAAACUUGCCAUAUAGUUAGCUUGUCCAUGGUUCACUCCAUAGUCUUCUGAAACUGUCUCUUCAAUGGCAAGCUCCAGCCUAUGGUCAAACAGUUCCAUACUAUGAUGUUAGAACACACUAACUGACGGUUGAUGGUUGCUUGCAAACUCAUGCUAUCUUAUAAUUGCCUCUUUGACAGCACCAAGAGGGAGACCUACAUUAGUUGUCAACUCCUCUUUCAAGUAUCAGAAUAAGAUAGGGAAUGAACUAUACAUCUAAAUGAGAAAGCAGAAUGAAAUGUAGCUCCAAAGGAAAUGCACUGGACUGCAACUGAAUGCCAGUCAAGCCAAGCAUCAGAGAGGAAGAAAUAGGGUAGUGCCUUGGUUGGCAAACCCCCUUUACUUAACAUUAAAACAAUCCCAUUUUAUCUCAAUAUUCAUUAAAACAAUCCCGGCGGUUUAUUUUAUUAUCAUUAUUUAAAUAUAUUUUAUUAUUUAAA